This 186-nucleotide unclassified non-coding RNA is filed under the name uncultured fungus. RNAcentral describes it as "sequence contains ITS1". The record is from RNAcentral. Lineage: Eukaryota; Fungi.
GAAAUGCAUUGGACUAUUCAGCCUUUAUUAGUCUGGGUAAAGUGUGAUAAGGUUUAUUAUGAAUCUCUUUCUCGCUGAGCUUUUAGCUAAAGGCUGGGUUAGCCCUUAAACCCCCCAACUCCUCAGGAACUUUUUGGUUCUUGUGAACUUGAGCUCAAAUCAGGUAGGAUUACCCGCUGAACUUAA